Sebastes umbrosus (honeycomb rockfish) is the source of this 125-nucleotide long non-coding RNA. RefSeq lists it as uncharacterized. The transcript has 3 exons. Lineage: Eukaryota; Metazoa; Chordata; Actinopteri; Perciformes; Sebastidae. The record is from RefSeq and is a predicted model, not a curated record.
ACAGAGUUUAUUUCAGGGAUCUAACUAAAAACUCAUUCAAAAAACCAACUGACUUCUAGACGAGGGAACCGGAAGUGCUGAAAUGCUAACUCAUUUCCGGGUAUUAGGGCUCAUUCCUGUCGCAC